UUCUAUGGCACUGACAUUGUAGAUAUUGUGCUGUUGAACUUUGCCUAUGAAGUAUCUGCCUUUUGCACCAGUAUUGUAACUCAAGAUUCAAAGGGCAAUAUUUACCAUGGCAGAAACCUGGAUUAUCCCCACGGUGUGCUCAGAAAUCUUACUCUAGACGUACUUUUUAUUAAAAAUGGAAAGGUGGCAUACAGAGGAACAGUUUUGCUGGUUAUGUUGGGCUGUGGACAGGACAAAGCCCCAACAAGUUUACAGAGUCUGGCAACGAAUGCAAUAAGGGACAUUGGUGGGAGAAUGUAAUUUCAGCAGUUUUAUUAAAAAGUUCUCCAGUUAGCUGGUUAGUGCGAGAGACUCUUGAAGCAGCUGUGGACUUCCAGGAUGCAGUAGUGAGACUGGCCAAGGUGCCGAUCAUCACAGAUGUCUAUUACAUUUUGGGGGGUGUUCAUGCUGGUGAGGGUGUGGUCAUCACCAGAGACCGGAGCGGGUCAGCUGACAUCUGGCCUCUGGAUCCACUUAAUGGAAACUGGUAUAGAGUUGAAACCAAUUAUGACCACUGGCUUCCCGCCCCUAAACAGGAUGACCGAAG
Long non-coding RNA from Sinocyclocheilus grahami, 586 nucleotides. RefSeq lists it as uncharacterized. Lineage: Eukaryota; Metazoa; Chordata; Actinopteri; Cypriniformes; Cyprinidae. The transcript has 6 exons. The record is from RefSeq and is a predicted model, not a curated record.